RNAcentral lists this ribosomal RNA (381 nucleotides) under Fibrobacter succinogenes. RNAcentral describes it as "bacterial SSU rRNA". It matches the Rfam family "Bacterial small subunit ribosomal RNA", at positions 262 to 642 of the family's 1533-position model. Lineage: Bacteria; Pseudomonadati; Fibrobacterota; Fibrobacteria; Fibrobacterales; Fibrobacteraceae. The record is from RNAcentral.
GGCCCACCAAGGCGACGAUCGGUAGCCGGCCUGAGAGGGUGAUCGGCCACAUUGGGACUGAGAUACGGCCCAGACUCCUACGGGAGGCAGCAGUAGGGAAUAUUGCACAAUGGGGGAAACCCUGAUGCAGCAACGCCACGUGUGGGAAGAAGCAUUUCGGUGUGUAAACCACUGUCAUGAGGGAAUAAGGCCCGUCUUCGGACGGGAUUGAAUGUACCUUGAAAGGAAGCACCGGCAAACUUCGUGCCAGCAGCCGCGGUAAUACGAGGGGUGCAAGCGUUGUUCGGAAUUACUGGGCGUAAAGGGAGCGUAGGCGGAGAUUCAAGCGGAUUGUACAAUCCCGGGGCCCAACCCCGGCUCUGCAGUCCGAACUGGAUCUCU